Molecule: non-coding RNA, 722 nt
Filed under: Taenia crassiceps
Lineage: Eukaryota; Metazoa; Platyhelminthes; Cestoda; Cyclophyllidea; Taeniidae
Source: RNAcentral
AUUUGUUUAACUGUGGCAAUAAGAAAUAUUAUAGUUUAUUUACUGCAUAAAAAGCUUUUAUUUUAUAAUUUAAUGUAGUUUAUUAAUUAUAUUUAGCAGUUAGUUUUUUGUUAAGAUUCACGUUUUAUAAGGAUAAGCUAUUAAAAAGGGGAUAGGACACAGUGCCAGCAUCUGCGGUUAUUCUGUUUUCUUUGUUUUUUUAUAGAUUGUGUUUAUUUACUAAUAAUCAAUGUUAGGUUAAAUUUUUUUGUUUAUAAUUUAUGUAAUUAAAUAUUUAUAAAAUGUAUUAUAAUGACAGGGAUUAGAUACCCCAUUAAUGUAUUUUGUAUUUAAUAUCUUAGUUUAAUAACUAAAAUGGUUUGGCAGUGAGUGAUUCUUUUUAGGGGAAGGUGUGGUGUAAAGGAUGUUCCGCCUAUUAUUUUACUUUUAUUAUGUUGGUGUAUAUCUGAUUUAAUAUUAUUGCUUAAUGGUUAAAGUUUGUGUAUAUUUAUUUAAGUCAAGUCUAUGUGCUGCUUAUAAAAGUAUUCAUGCGUUACUUUAAUAAUAUGUUAGAUGAAAUAUUAAUUGAUUUAGGACUUAAUAGUAAUGUUUAAUUAGUUUGUAAAUGUGAAUAUAGUUUAGCUCAUGUACACACCGCCCGUCACCCUCGAUUAUUAUUGAGUAAGUCGUAACAAGGUAACUUUAAAUGAAUUUGAAGUUGGUUAUUAAUUUAUUUAAUUUUA